This 1184-nucleotide ribosomal RNA is filed under the name Enterococcus faecium. RNAcentral describes it as "bacterial SSU rRNA". It matches the Rfam family "Bacterial small subunit ribosomal RNA", at positions 59 to 1216 of the family's 1533-position model. Lineage: Bacteria; Bacillati; Bacillota; Bacilli; Lactobacillales; Enterococcaceae. The record is from RNAcentral.
CAGUCGAACGCUUCUUUUUCACCGGAGCUUGCUCCACCGGAAAAAGAGGAGUGGCGAACGGGUGAGUAACACGUGGGUAACCUGCCCAUCAGAAGGGGAUAACACUUGGAAACAGGUGCUAAUACCGUAUAACAAUCAAAACCGCAUGGUUUUGAUUUGAAAGGCGCUUUCGGGUGUCGCUGAUGGAUGGACCCGCGGUGCAUUAGCUAGUUGGUGAGGUAACGGCUCACCAAGGCCACGAUGCAUAGCCGACCUGAGAGGGUGAUCGGCCACAUUGGGACUGAGACACGGCCCAAACUCCUACGGGAGGCAGCAGUAGGGAAUCUUCGGCAAUGGACGAAAGUCUGACCGAGCAACGCCGCGUGAGUGAAGAAGGUUUUCGGAUCGUAAAACUCUGUUGUUAGAGAAGAACAAGGAUGAGAGUAACUGUUCAUCCCUUGACGGUAUCUAACCAGAAAGCCACGGCUAACUACGUGCCAGCAGCCGCGGUAAUACGUAGGUGGCAAGCGUUGUCCGGAUUUAUUGGGCGUAAAGCGAGCGCAGGCGGUUUCUUAAGUCUGAUGUGAAAGCCCCCGGCUCAACCGGGGAGGGUCAUUGGAAACUGGGAGACUUGAGUGCAGAAGAGGAGAGUGGAAUUCCAUGUGUAGCGGUGAAAUGCGUAGAUAUAUGGAGGAACACCAGUGGCGAAGGCGGCUCUCUGGUCUGUAACUGACGCUGAGGCUCGAAAGCGUGGGGAGCAAACAGGAUUAGAUACCCUGGUAGUCCACGCCGUAAACGAUGAGUGCUAAGUGUUGGAGGGUUUCCGCCCUUCAGUGCUGCAGCUAACGCAUUAAGCACUCCGCCUGGGGAGUACGACCGCAAGGUUGAAACUCAAAGGAAUUGACGGGGGCCCGCACAAGCGGUGGAGCAUGUGGUUUAAUUCGAAGCAACGCGAAGAACCUUACCAGGUCUUGACAUCCUUUGACCACUCUAGAGAUAGAGCUUCCCCUUCGGGGGCAAAGUGACAGGUGGUGCAUGGUUGUCGUCAGCUCGUGUCGUGAGAUGUUGGGUUAAGUCCCGCAACGAGCGCAACCCUUAUUGUUAGUUGCCAUCAUUCAGUUGGGCACUCUAGCAAGACUGCCGGUGACAAACCGGAGGAAGGUGGGGAUGACGUCAAAUCAUCAUGCCCCUUAUGACCUGGGCUA